UAUACGCUAAAAGCUGAUUGGCUCCGCCAUCUUUUGCUCAGAUUUCCGGAUUAAUUUGGAAGGGGUAAACAGAUGAUCAGUUGUUUAUUUUUCGUUUACUCCAGUUUACUCUGGUUUAACCUUUAACCUCACUUAACUAGAUAGAUCGAGAAAUAUUAAAUUACUAUUACUAUUAUUCAGGUUGAAAAAUGCCUUCUUCUAAGGUAAAAGGUUGCGAAGUCGAUUGGGGAAAAAUAAUGUGAAAAUGAAUUCUUUCCCAAAAGAAUCUGAACGACGGAAAUAAAAAUAUAGGGUUAAAACAAGAUCCAAACAAAUAUGCUGUUGUUUGUGAAAAAAACUGUAUGAGUUUUUGUGAAUGAACAACGAUUGUGAAUGAGUGAGAAGUCUAAUAAAGCCACGACGAGAUACUGUAUUAGAGCGUACGAUUUGGAGGUAUUUUUGAUUAGAUACAUUUUGUAAAGUACAAUAUAAAUUAGAUUUGAUAAUGUGUAGUAUUUCCUAAUAAAUUAAAUACUAUUAAGUGUUUAUUGUUCUUGUAAGUUAGUGUGGUAAAUAAAUAAUAUGAAGUAAG
Diabrotica virgifera virgifera (western corn rootworm) is the source of this 571-nucleotide long non-coding RNA. RefSeq lists it as uncharacterized. The record is from RefSeq and is a predicted model, not a curated record. Lineage: Eukaryota; Metazoa; Arthropoda; Insecta; Coleoptera; Chrysomelidae. The transcript has 2 exons.